CUCCACCUCCCGGGUUCAAGUGAUUCUUCUGCCUCAGCCUCCCAAGUAGCUGGGAUUACAGGCAUGCACCACCACGCCAGGCUAAUUUUUGUAUUUUUAGUAGAGACGGGGUUUCUCCAUGUUGGUCAGGCUGGUCUUGAACUCCCAACUUCAGGUGAUUCGCCCGACUCAGCCUUCCAAAGUGCUGGGAUCACAGGCGUGAACCACCACGCCCGGCCUAGAGGUCAAUUUUAUAUCCCCUCCUGUUGAAUCUGGAAUAUGUGACUGCUUCACAUAAUAGAAUAUGGCAAAAGUGAUGCUGCUGCCAGCUCUGGGCCUAGGCUUUCAGAAACUGUCAUCUUCUACUUCCUGUCUCUUGGGGUUUUCACUCUUGGAAUCCAGCCACGGUACUGAGAGGGAGGGUGAGCAGCCUGUGGAGAGGCCCAUGUGGAGAGGAACGGAGGCCCCAGCUCUCAGCCCUGGCUGAGCUCCCAGCCAGCAGCCAGUUCUCGCUGACUGCCUGAAUCAUCUUACAAGUGGGCCCUCAAGUCCGCAGAUGAGCUGCCCUAGCUACCACCUUGCAGAGAAGAAACGAACCUUCCCACCAUGCCCUGCCCAAACUGUAGAUUCAGGAGCGAAAUUAGUCAUUGAUGAUAUUUUAGGCCAUUAAGUUUUGGAGUUACAAAGCCAUAGUAACCUGAACAUCUGCUAACUGGGUCCAGGACUGUUACUAUUGCUCCACCUCCUCCUCUUCCUCCUCUCCGCCGUGUGCUUGAGUUGUGAUGUGGGUUGUGGUGUGGUGGUUUAGUGGGUGGGCACCGAGCCACACUACCUGGGCUCAAAUCCUGACUCUCACAUAUCAAUUGUAUGACUCUAAGGAAGCAACGUAGUCUCUCUGUGCCUCAGUUACCGUGUCUGUAAAAUGGGGGUGAAAGUAGUACAGAAUUGUUGGGAAGAUUAAAUGAACUAAGCAACAUAAAGCACGUAGAAAAGCACCGGGCAUGUGUACAAUUAUUCUGCCAAGCCAAGGCCCCAGCCCUCUUGGGUUCUGGGGUGCUGACUCCCUGGGGCCUCCAUCAUUUGAGAUGAUCCCUACCUGGCCAUUUGAGGCCCCAGACUUCCCAGGUGCCACCAGCCUACCUCCCCGGACUAUCACUCUUCCUGCUGGUGUCAGGCUUUGCCCAUUAGGCCAGUCUUGCUCACUCCCAUGACACUUCUGGCUCUGCCCCCUGGUCCUUCCCUGCACUGCUAUAAUUCUGACUUCCUUUUGGCUGGGCUGUUGGGGAAAAAGAGAGAGUGGUGAAGCGGAGGUGGACCCCCGCCAUAGAGGGUGGUGCACUGGUGGGUGUGUUGGGGGAGCUUUAGUUCAUAAACUUUACUGGGAAACAGAAGCCUUAUCAUCCACACAUCUCUUGGGAAGACAUUGAUUUUCUUGCUGACAUGAGUCCAGAGAGUAAGAAACACACUCACAAUAUGAGCAAGGCCUGCCGUGGAAAGCCAGAGAAUUUUCACUAAAUCUUUCUUAGGAAUUGCAAUGAUAGCACGCAGCAGAUUCCUGAGGAAGGUGGCGUUGCGUGUUAAUUAGGUUUUGCCAGAGAAAAAUGAACGUGCUCUAAGACACUUUCCCACGUAUGUGUUCGUGCAGGUUGUGAGAACUCAGAAAAGCUUUGCAUCCAGGCUGUGCCCAGGACUCAGAUUUCACUAGCUCCAGGGGUUCUCUUUUGCAGUGAACACAGUGGCCUCCUCAUUAGAGCUUUUCAAACCAGGGUGGGCACUGAGGAAGGGAUUGAAAGUCCCCUGGGGCAGAGGGACCUUUGAAAUGGGGAGCCACUGCCCCAGCCUGAGAAGCAGAGAACAGUGACCUGGGGGGGCGUCCAUGGGGGUAGCCUGAGUUCCGGAGCUUGGUGGUCCCGCAGCGCUACUUAAAGGUCACUGCACCAUCUCCAGUGAUUCCCUGAGUCUGCCCUGCGGCUUCCAAUUCCCCCAGUGGGCCUGGAAGAACGACCCACUUCAUGCUGGGAAAGCCAUGCUGAUGCUGUUGACCUGCAGGAAUAGAAUUUGGAACCGUAUCCCUCCCUCCAUCCCCUCACAGGAGACAGAAAGCAGGGAGGAUUGAGAGGAUCUGGGCACGCGGGGGUUGCUCAGGAAGCAGGAGGGGGCUGGCUGCAGGGAGAGAGCAGCAGGAGUUCACCUGGGAGAGGAAGUAUGUGAAGCAGGCUUGCCGCAGCACCACCUGGCCACCUGAUCCCCCGGUGGAGUCUCAGGAAUCCCAUUUCUGGAGGCUGAUGGAAUCCAGUGGGAGCCUGACGCUGCCCGGGUGACUGAUGGCCAGGCAGGACCGAGGACCGCGGGAUUGCACUCGGUAGAGGACCCCCUCCCCUAGUGCCUUCGGCCGUCCCCACAGCCGUGCUGAGCUUCAUGAGGUUUCAGGGGAGGUUGAAGACCAUGCUCUGGAUGUGAAGUCAUUCGGCCUGGACUCUGGUCCCGGCUCAGCUGCUCCUGCAUCCCCCCAGUUCCCAGGGCCCCCAUUUGCCCAUCUGGAGACAGGGCCUUGCCCUUCCCAGGCAGGACUGCAGGAAAGCCAUGGCUCUCUGGACUCCAGGGAGGAGGCAGGACAUGUUUAAAUGAGUGGCUUUUGGGCUUGGUGAAAGCCUCCAGCCCGUGGGCACACAAGAAUGGUGAGGGGUGAACUGAUGCAAGUCUGGGGGCAGCGUAGCAAAGUGGAUCUCAAACCCUAAAGAUGUGCAUGCCUUCUGACCCGGCAAUCUACCAGGAAUUCAUCCUAAGGAAAUAAUAUUAAGUUCAUACAAGGCGUGAGUAUAAGGACACUUAUCCCAGCCUUGUUUACAACUGAUACCAGUCAAUGGCAGAUUGCACAUUCACACAAUGGAGCGUGUGGCAGCCAUUUACACAGCGAUGGUAUUAUCAAUAAAGCUGCGAUGAACAUUCUGGUACAUGUCUUUUGGUGGGCAUAUGAACGCCUUUCACUUGGGUACAUACCUAAGAUGGGUUCAAAGGAUUAUGUGUGUUCCAUUUGAGUUGAUGCUGCAAAACAGUUUAUGAGACUCCCACCACCAGUUUAUGAGAACUCCAAUUGUCCUAACAUCUUUGUCAACACUUGGUAUUGUCAGCCUGUAUCGCUUUGGCUCUUCUAGUGAAUGCAUAAAAGUGUUGCGUUGUGGUUUAAAUCUGCAUUUCUAAAUAUAUGCCAACAGAAAAAUGGAUAAACAAAUUGGGAAUCUACAUGGCAAUUAAAAAGAACGAACUACUGAUUCAUGCAACUACAUGGAUGAACCUCAAAAAACAAUUAUACAGA
This 3295-nucleotide long non-coding RNA is filed under the name Homo sapiens (human). RNAcentral describes it as "HSALNT0030811". Lineage: Eukaryota; Metazoa; Chordata; Mammalia; Primates; Hominidae. The record is from RNAcentral.